CAGGAUUAGAUACCCUGGUAGUCCAUGCCGUAAACGUUGGGCACUAGGUGUGGGGACCAUUCCACGGUUUCCGCGCCGCAGCUAACGCAUUAAGUGCCCCGCCUGGGGAGUACGGCCGCAAGGCUAAAACUCAAAGGAAUUGACGGGGGCCCGCACAAGCGGCGGAGCAUGCGGAUUAAUUCGAUGCAACGCGAAGAACCUUACCAAGGCUUGACAUGUUCUCGAUCGCCGUAGAGAUACGGUUUCCCCUUUGGGGCGGGUUCACAGGUGGUGCAUGGUUGUCGUCAGCUCGUGUCGUGAGAUGUUGGGUUAAGUCCCGCAACGAGCGCAACCCUCGUUCCAUGUUGCCAGCACGUAAUGGUGGGGACUCAUGGGAGACUGCCGGGGUCAACUCGGAGGAAGGUGAGGACGACGUCAAAUCAUCAUGCCCCUUAUGUCUUGGGCUUCACGCAUGCUACAAUGGCCGGUACAAUGGGUUGCGAUACUGUGAGGUGGAGCUAAUCCCAAAAAGCCGGUCUCAGUUCGGAUUGGGGUCUGCAACUCGACCCCAUGAAGUCGGAGUCGCUAGUAAUCGCAGAUCAGCAACGCUGCGGUGAAUACGUUCCCGGGCCUUGUACACACCGCCCGUCAAGUCACGAAAGUUGGUAACACCCGAAGCCGGUGGCCUAACCCUUGUGGGGGGAGCCGUCGAAGGUGGGACCAGCGAUUGGGACU
Molecule: ribosomal RNA, 714 nt
Filed under: Micrococcaceae bacterium NASA2-29
Lineage: Bacteria; Bacillati; Actinomycetota; Actinomycetes; Micrococcales; Micrococcaceae
Description: bacterial SSU rRNA
Rfam family: Bacterial small subunit ribosomal RNA
Source: RNAcentral